GUUGCGGUGCGAUUUUGGAUGC
Molecule: non-coding RNA, 22 nt
Filed under: Arabidopsis thaliana (thale cress)
Lineage: Eukaryota; Viridiplantae; Streptophyta; Magnoliopsida; Brassicales; Brassicaceae
Source: RNAcentral